This 337-nucleotide unclassified non-coding RNA is filed under the name soil metagenome. Its description in RNAcentral is "partial contains 5.8S ribosomal RNA, internal transcribed spacer 2, and large subunit ribosomal RNA". The stretch from base 1 to 120 matches the Rfam family "5.8S ribosomal RNA", at positions 35 to 154 of the family's 154-position model. The record is from RNAcentral.
GAUGAAGAACGUAGCGAAAUGCGAUAAGUAAUGCGAAUUGCAGAAUUCCGUGAGUCAUCGAAUCUUUGAACGCACAUUGCGCCCUUUGGCAUUCCGAAGGGCAUGCCUGUUCGAGCGUCAUUUAUCAACCCUCAAGCCCGGCUUGCGGUUGGGUCCCGCCGUGGGCGACCACGGCGGACCCGAAAGGUAAUGGCGGUGCCCGUGGGGCCCUGGACGCAGCGAGCUUCUCGGCACGCGUCCCGGCGGUCCCCGGCGCCGUCUCCACCAAUCCACCACGCAGAUUGACCUCGGAUCAGGUAGGGAUACCCGCUGAACUUAAGCAUAUCAUAGCGGAGGA